GAAUACUCACAUCUUCAUCAGCUGGAUUAUUGCACAGUCUGUCACUGCUGUUGCUGGCCUGACUUCCUAUCCUUUUGACAUGGUUCGCCAUCGUAUGAUGAUGCAGUCUGGACGCAAAGGAACUGAUAUCAUGUAUACAGGAACGCUUGACUGCUGGCAGAAGAUCGCUUGAGAUGAAGGAAGCACGGCUUUUUUCAAGGGUGCAUGGUCCAACGUUCUCAGAGGCAUGGGUGGUGCCUUUGUACUUGUCUUGUAUGUUGAGAUCAAGAAGUACACAUAAUUAUGUCCUAGGUGUUCUCCCCGAGAACAGGCAUGUUGUAUAAUAGACCAUAUUCUUGAACAUUCUGGACAGAUUCUCUGGGCUUGUCUGUUUUAUCAAUGGCAACUAUUUACCAGUUGAAAAAUGAGAAGCAAUAAUAUUCAUCUGACCAGAAUAUUAAUAUUUAAUAUUCUCUUAAAGCCAUUUCCAUAAAGACAAUAAUGAUGGGACUCAAUUAUAUUUUUUAUUUCAGUCACUCCUGAUAAUAAAAAAUUGAAGAAAUAAAAAUAUCCAAAACCAAA
This 561-nucleotide long non-coding RNA is filed under the name Rattus norvegicus (Norway rat). RNAcentral's name for it is "long non-coding RNA NONRATT026940". Lineage: Eukaryota; Metazoa; Chordata; Mammalia; Rodentia; Muridae. The record is from RNAcentral.